AUCCAACUGACGAGUCCUGAAUAGGACGAAACUCGCGUCCUGGAU
RNAcentral lists this non-coding RNA (45 nucleotides) under Schistosoma mansoni. Lineage: Eukaryota; Metazoa; Platyhelminthes; Trematoda; Strigeidida; Schistosomatidae. The record is from RNAcentral.